RNAcentral lists this ribosomal RNA (776 nucleotides) under uncultured Actinomycetes bacterium. RNAcentral's name for it is "bacterial SSU rRNA". It matches the Rfam family "Bacterial small subunit ribosomal RNA", at positions 570 to 1362 of the family's 1533-position model. Lineage: Bacteria; Bacillati; Actinomycetota; Actinomycetes. The record is from RNAcentral.
CGCAGGCGGCAUACCAAGUAUUCAGUGAAAUCUCCCUGCUCAACGGGGAGGGUGCUGAGUAGACUGGUAAGCUAGAGGACGGUAGAGGGGGGUAGAAUUGCUGGUGUAGCGGUGAAAUGCGUAGAGAUCAGCAGGAAUACCCGUGGCGAAGGCGGCCCCCUGGGCCGUUUCUGACGCUGAGGCGCGAAGGCUAGGGGAGCGAACGGGAUUAGAUACCCCGGUAGUCCUAGCAGUAAACGAUGGCCACUAGGUGUGAGGGGUGUUGACCCCCCUUGUGCCGAAGCUAACGCAUUAAGUGGCCCGCCUGGGGAGUACGGUCGCAAGACUAAAACUCAAAGGAAUUGACGGGGACCCGCACAAGCAGCGGAGCGUGUGGUUUAAUUCGAUGCGACGCGAAGAACCUUACCUGGGCUUGACAUGUAUUCGCAACCCUGUGAAAGCAGGGCCUCCUUCGGGACGGAUACACAGAUGUUGCAUGGCUGUCGUCAGCUCGUGUCGUGAGAUGUUGGGUUAAGUCCCGCAACGAGCGCAACCCUUGUUUCUAGUUGAAUAUCUAGAGAGACUGCCGCACACAAAGCGGAGGAAGGUGGGGAUGACGUCAAGUCAGCAUGACUCUUACGUCCAGGGCUACACACACGCUACAAUGGCAGUUACAAUGAGAAGCCAGCCCGCGAGGGUGAGCAGACCUCAUAAAGGCUGCCUCAGUUCAGAUUGCACUCUGCAACUCGAGUGCAUGAAGUUGGAGUUGCUAGUAACCGCGUGUCAGCAUAGCGCGG